RNAcentral lists this ribosomal RNA (759 nucleotides) under Bacillus sp. (in: firmicutes). Its description in RNAcentral is "bacterial SSU rRNA". It matches the Rfam family "Bacterial small subunit ribosomal RNA", at positions 366 to 1117 of the family's 1533-position model. Lineage: Bacteria; Bacillati; Bacillota; Bacilli; Caryophanales; Bacillaceae. The record is from RNAcentral.
UCGCAUGGACGAAGUCUGACGGAGCACGCCGCGUGAGUGAUGAAGGUUUUCGGAUCGUAAAGCUCUGUUGUUAGGGAAGAACAAGUGCCGUUCAAAUAGGGCGGCACCUUGACGGUACCUAACCAGAAAGCCACGGCUAACUACGUGCCAGCAGCCGCGGUAAUACGUAGGUGGCAAGCGUUGUCCGGAAUUAUUGGGCGUAAAGGGCUCGCAGGCGGUUUCUUAAGUCUGAUGUGAAAGCCCCCGGCUCAACCGGGGAGGGUCAUUGGAAACUGGGGAACUUGAGUGCAGAAGAGGAGAGUGGAAUUCCACGUGUAGCGGUGAAAUGCGUAGAGAUGUGGAGGAACACCAGUGGCGAAGGCGACUCUCUGGUCUGUAACUGACGCUGAGGAGCGAAAGCGUGGGGAGCGAACAGGAUUAGAUACCCUGGUAGUCCACGCCGUAAACGAUGAGUGCUAAGUGUUAGGGGGUUUCCGCCCCUUAGUGCUGCAGCUAACGCAUUAAGCACUCCGCCUGGGGAGUACGGUCGCAAGACUGAAACUCAAAAGAAUUGACGGGGGCCCUCACAACCGGUGUACCAUGUGGUUUAAUUCGAAACAACGCGAAGAACCUUACCAGGUCUUGACAUCCUCUGACAAUCCUAGAGAUAGGACGUCCCCUUCUGGGGCAGAGUGACAGGUGGUGCAUGGUUGUCGUCAACUCCUGUCGUGAGAUGUUGGGCUAAAAUCCCGCAACGAGCGCAUCCCUUGAUCUUAGUUG